AUGCAAAAAGACAAGACGCAGGUGGAGUCCAGCUCCAGGCGCGGCUUAGACCCGGCGGAGGAGGAACCAGGAGCAGUUACGGGACGUGUGCACGGGGCCGUGGCCGCUGUCCUCCCUGCCUCGGGCCAGCUGGCGUCUGGGGAAGGGGGGAGUAAAGGGAUGGGAAUCUGGAAAAUUCUAAUUUUGCUUUAAGACAGUGAUACUUUCAUCAUGGACACUUGAAUUGUUCUCGAUGGUGUCGUGUUGACGCGCGUCUCUGUGUACACAGCGCUUUCUGUGACUAGGUUUGUCAGGAGCAGUGGUGCUCUGGAAGGGUUCUGAUAAAUACAGAAAAACACUUUUCAAAGUGCUGCUGGCUUCCCCACCAGCAUCAGUUGUUAACACUUUGAUUAUCUUGUUAAAUUNNNNNNNNAGAAAUAGUGUCCCAUUAUUUUGAUUUGAAUUUCUUUGAAUAUUAGGCUACCCAUUAUUUCAUAUGCUGUCACACAUUCAGGUUUUUUCUUCUCAUUUGUAAAUUGCUUGUUUUUGUCCUUCAUACCUUUGUCUUUUUGCUUACUGAUUGUUCCAACUUUUAAUUUAAAAUUGACUGUGAUAACAUGUGUGCUGGCUCCCCUGGAACACGGCUCCAACUUACUAUAGAUUAGAAAGUGUUUCUUCAGUGAUUACAGUUAAAUAUAGAGAUAAGUACAUACACCUGCACUCUAAAUAGACUUUCAAAGAUUUAGGAAUAAUCAGAAGAUAAGUGGUAUCUAAGGUGUUUGUUGCGUACUUCCCUGGUGGCUCGGACGGUAAAGCAUCUGUCUACAAUGUGGGAGACCUGGGUUUGAUCCCUGGNNNNNNNNNNNNNNNNNNNNNNNNNNNNNNNNNNNNNNNNNNNNNNNNNUGCCUGGAAAAUCCCAUGGACAGAGGAGCCUGGUAGGCUACAACCCAUGGUGUCGCAAAGAGUUGGACAUGACUGAGUGACUUCACUUUCUAAGGUGUUCGUAAAUGUUUUAAGGACUUUGUUAUACUAAAGUAUCUGAUUCUGAUUUGAAAUGUGAACUGACUUUUGACUUGUGACUUUUUAGCUGAGAAAAAUAAGAAAAUUUCACUAAGUUUUUGAGCAGCAUUUUCAUUUUUAAGAGGACUUGAGAGUCAUCAUCAUAACAAACCGUGGAAAAUUCUUCAAGAGAUGGGAAUACCAAACCACCUUACCUGCCUUCU
This 1203-nucleotide long non-coding RNA is filed under the name Capra hircus (goat). RNAcentral describes it as "lncRNA (ENSCHIG00010004252.1)". The record is from RNAcentral. Lineage: Eukaryota; Metazoa; Chordata; Mammalia; Artiodactyla; Bovidae.